CGCGCGGGUUAAGUAGUGUCGCGAAGUGCCGCACGCUGAUACGCGCAAUUGACAGACUUCAACAGCAAUAUCAUAUCAAUCUUCAUCGAGCGAUUCCAUGAUCGCACCCACGAGAAGCGCCGAUCUGCGAGAACGCUCAUUCUUCUUCAACGACAAGGCGCGGCGAGUGUUUAAGAAAAUGCCGAUCCUCUCGGAGCUGUCGCGCCGAUUUCACAUGUUAACGACAGACGCGAAGCCGGAUCCACCGCGCACCGGCAUCCCUGGUUACACGCACAACCUGCCGCCGACGGAGGACACGACGAAGAAACCGCGAUCGAGAUCGACACCCACCACGCCGGAGGAAUUGCACGCACACAGAACCGACAAGGUUGACGCCGACACCGACGUCGACGUCGACGACGACGGUGUCGACGUGACAGCGUCGGUACGACGGCAAAAAUCGGUGCCGAACGACGCGACGCCCACGAGAGAUUUCGCCGCGAAAGCGGAAGACCUCGGCCACACGGACGAGCCAACGAACGAGUCGAAACAGUACAAACGACCAAGGACGCGGACGAGAGUGAAACACGCUAAAUAUUCGCAAGGCAUGAACGUAGUGAAUUACAACAUCGUCAAUUCGAACGGGGUGAAGAUCGGCUCGCGGACGAGCUACAUAUGCAACGUGAAUUAUGCGACAAACAAUAACGCGACAGCACAACCCGAAGCUUCCUGGUCGAAGCCGAAGCACCGGUCGAUGCCGCAAAACGUGGAGGAGUUGAGCGCGUGCGACGAAGAGCUCACGUUCGACGACAUGAUCACCGUCAAGACACACGUCGGCCACGGCUGGAGGGACGUCGCGAGGAGGCUGUCGUACUCGGACGGCCAGAUCGAACAGUUCGAGGAGAAUUUCAGGCACAAAGGCGUCGACGAGGUGAUAUAUCAGUUGUUGCUCGAUUGGAAACAAGCGAACACGCGAGACGCCCGGCUGGGAACACUAGUCAGUGCAUUGUGGUCUUGUCAAGAGUACGACUGCGUCGAGCGGCUAGCCGCGGCUCGCAAGACUCCCUCUUAGUUGCGACUUGGAAAUUCUACUCUGCGUCGCCUAUCUGAUGAACGCUUGUACAUACGUGCGCGAUUGUUCGCGAUUUAUUUUUUUUUUCUACUCGAAGUAGCAUUCCAAUUACAUUUUUAUAUAAAUCGUAUAUACUCCGGCGCGCACACGGCUCAUACGCACGUAUGAACGUCUGCCACAAGUACAUAUCGCGCGAAGAUCGUUUUUAUAUUCGUCGUUUAUCGUUCCGAAGCGAUCGAAGAAGUUUACCGUGUGGACACGCGCAUUCGACCUUCGUCGUCCGUUUUGGGAUUGUACAGAAUUACAAUGAGGAAUUCCCGGCGGUUCGGACGGGAACAUGAUCUGAUUAAUAAUAUUCGGACAUAAUACGGUGCCCACGCAUACAUUCUCAACAAAACACAUCGCACUAUAAACAGACCUCUCCAUAAUUUUGAACGGCGAA
Molecule: unclassified non-coding RNA, 1493 nt
Filed under: Harpegnathos saltator (Jerdon's jumping ant)
Lineage: Eukaryota; Metazoa; Arthropoda; Insecta; Hymenoptera; Formicidae
Description: uncharacterized LOC105187066, transcript variant X2
Source: RNAcentral